Gorilla gorilla gorilla (western lowland gorilla) is the source of this 553-nucleotide long non-coding RNA. RefSeq lists it as uncharacterized. The transcript has 3 exons. NCBI's taxonomy places the organism in Eukaryota, Metazoa, Chordata, Mammalia, Primates, Hominidae. The record is from RefSeq and is a predicted model, not a curated record.
AGCAGAAUUCUGAUAAGAUGGAGGAAAGAAAAGCCAGAGUGAAGCAGACCAUUAGCAGAUAAUUGUCAUAAUCUUGAUACUAAAUGGAGACCAGAAUUAAGUCAGAACACUGAAUACAGAAACUUGAAGAACAACAUCAUUUCAGUCAGGAGUACCAAAAAGAGCUUUUAAGAAAACGGAAGCAGAAAAUGGCGUAGAAGAAGCUGAACCUAAAAUAUUCAUUGAAGUCAGAAGGUAAAGGAUCCUUUGAUGUAGUCCAUUCAGAGCAGAAGGAGAAGAAUGCAAAGUGGAUCUGCAGGGACAAAUAGAAGAUGCAGUGCAAUGGAGACACUGUUUAAUGCCACAGGGGACCUGGGCUCCUUUCGUCUCUCCUAUGUAAAGAGAAUUUCCUCCAGCCGAGUAAAACUGAUGGGAUUGGUCAGCCUUCUAGACAACAGAAAUAAAUAAUUCUCUCUGUGAAGAAUGACAAAUAUUCCUAUGACUAUGAAAACUAUAAACCUACUUUCAAUUUAUAAUCUUAGAAAGAUUCAGGGAAAUGAACAAUCUAUGAUAU